AUAUAAAGGUAUGAUAAAAAAGAGUAAAGGGAUCACAGGUAAAGGGGGGAGAUAGCAAAUAAAGGACUAUUUGAGGAAGACUAGCCAAUUAGAAUAAGGAGGUUAAAUGACCAAAAGGGAUGAUCCAUUUAUGGAUAAACCAAUUCCAAAGGUGAAAGCCUAAAUAAAAUAGCCAAUGAACUGAGAUAUCUAAGUAGUUGGUAAGUAAAUCAAAAGAGAACUCUCUGAGUAGUGAAGAGCGAAAGGAUAAAGGCCAAAACUAGCAGAAUAGGAAUUCAAUCCACUGCAGUUUUAAAGAAGAUAAUGGGCAAAGGCCAAGGCUGAGUAUUACUAAUUGGCGAUAGUGUAAAGUACCGAGAGGGAAAGUUGAAUCAAGAACCCAAGAGGGAGUGAAAUAGAGCCAGAAACAGAUAGUCCAACAGUUGAGAGCCCUAAUUAGGGUGAUCAAUUACCUAUUGCAUAAUGGGUCGGCAAGUUUAUUGAUGGGGUAAGGUGAACAACCGAGUGAAUACAUAGGAAAUCCAAUUAAUUUGACCCGAAACCAAGUGAGCCUGUCAUUAUUAGGUUUAUAGACCGAACCUGUAGCCGUGGUAAUGGCUUAGGAUGAAUAAUGACAAGAGGACAAAUUCCUAACGAACUUGGAGAUAGCUGGUUGACCGCGAAAACUAUGGCAGUAGUCUUAUCAUUUUUUACCCAAUGGAGUACAGCACCGGUUUCAUCCUGACCUCGGAGAGUUCAUUGGAUUAAAAUAGUGAAAAUGAUAAGUCAGGGCAUCGAGGCUAAGCUCGAUGGUCAAGAGAGAAACAACUCCAUCUAUAGGCUAAAGUUCCAAAAUGGACGUUAAGUGAAUAUAAGACAAUUAGCUGGAUAAGAACUUCCUAAUGUGAGCUCAAUUCCGGGCUCCAUAUAAGAUCUAAUUAUGCUGGAAUCUAUUUAUUAGAAAUCAGCAGGUGGUUUAAUUAUCACCUCAACGACUAUUAUUAGAUCUAAAAUUAGUAUCAUUGUUUUAGCAAUAGAGUUAUUGUAAUGUAUUUAUAGUCUUGGUAAUCCAUUAUAAGUAUCAGGCUAGGUUUUUUACUGUUGUGCCUGCUAAUGUAAUUGUUGCUAGACCUGCACCAAUUGAUAGCCAUCAACAUAUUUAGUUUUCAUUAUUUAACGCAAUAACAAAUUUUAACUAUGAAUAUUUUACAUAAUCAAACUACAAUCACUAAUUGUAAUGCCUUAGUACUUUAUAAACCAGUUCCAAGUGCACUUAUUGUGACUGAACACCCUAAACCAAUUAAAUUAGAACCAUAUUUUAUUGCAAGCGUAUGGCUCUUUAUUUAUUAGUGUUAGUGUUAGUGUUAGUGUUAGUGUUAGUGUUAGUGUUAGUGUUAGUGUAAAAAGGGGAGCUAAAUGGGGUUUACAGUUAAGACCUAAAGUUUCAAUUACUUUAGAUAGAGAUUUUCAAGGUAAGGAGGUUUUAGACGCUAUUAAUCUUAAUUUCAAUAAUAGUGGUAUUAUAUAUCCUUCCAAAAGAAGUGCAUUUGAACUUGUGUUUGAAAAAGAAGCCUAGACAGCAUUUAUUUUUCCAUUUUAGGAUAAAUAUCAUCUUUAUGGAAACAAAGCAUUCGCUUUGGCUAGUAUGAAACGCAUUAUUUAACUUACUGGCAGUAAAGCUCAUAAUGAUGAAAAAAUCAUGGCUUCUAUUUUAUUAUCUAUUUAUCAUAUGAAUCCUGCAAGUCAACGUAAAUACAGUAAAUUAGUUGGAUGGUUUGAUCACUUAUAUACACCAUCAUUACUAAAUACUUCAAGACCAUUAAUUGUAGAUCCGGUUAUUCGUACCGAUUUUACAGAUCAAUUUAUUUUAGGGUUUAUUUCAGGAGAUGGAUGUUUUGGUGUAAGUUUUUAAAAAAAUGCAGAAAUUUCCAUAUAUUUUCACAUUACUCAGGAUUUGAGUGAAAUAGGAAUUUUAUAGAAAUGUAAAGAAUUCUUGGGGUGUGGAUAUAUUAAUCCUUAUGUAAAAGGAAGUUAUGCACGUUGGAACAUUGUAGGUUUUUAUGAUCAAUGGUGUUAUCUAAUACCAUUUAUUUUUAGUCAUUUAUGUAGUUAGAAUAUUUAAUAGACCACUUUCUUAAUUUAUAUGAAAGUUGCAUCUAUACUUAAUCAAGCUAGUAAAUAGAGUAAAGUAAAGUUAAAUUGAUGUAUAUCAUUGAUAUUGCUUACAAUAUUAAUAAAGGUGGUAAAAGAAGAAAAAUGACUAAAGAAGAGUACAUUGCUAAAUACAUUAAUAAAGGUUGAGUGACCUUUUAUGAUUCUUAUUUUAAAGAUAUAGUCUCGGAUGAUGACCUCAGGUCAUCUUAAAUCAGUGGAAGCAGCUAUCCUGAAUCGAGUGGGUAACAACCCAAGGAAGAUAGGUGUGAUUGUCGCUAAUUCUAGGAUCUAGACUUCCUACUUUAGCUAUAGGAUGUUUAAUACAUCGGUAGCGGUCCAAAGAGGGGCGAGUCCCCUUUUUAGAAAAUGCUGACAUGAGUAACGUGAAAUGUGGUCAAAAUCCACAUGGCCGAAAGUUUAAGGUUUUCAGCGAUAGGCUCAGGUACGUAAGAGUUAAUUGGUGUCUAACCCUUAAUUGGGGAUGACAAUAUGAAUCAACAGGAAAUGACAUAACCAUACUGAUAACCGACGCUGGUAAACAGGCAUUUAAUGUGCCAAGGCCUGCAGAUAACCAUUUAGAAGGAACUCGGCAAAAUAGGUGUACGACUGUUCACCUCAAACACAAGGCUUAGCAAACUUAUUAAGGAUGUAUUAGGCCUGUCAUCUGCCCGGUGCUAGUAAGUGAAAGCAGCGGAGAGAUUACUCUUCGGGCAUAAGCUCUAGUAAACGGCAGCUGUAACUCUAACAGUUCUAAGGUAGAAUGUUGCCUUAGAUAAAAGUCACUAUAUGCUAAAACACUCCUUAGGGUUAUUAGCAAAUCAAGCAAUUGAUUUCAGAGACUAAUUGUGGCGGUAUGUGAUAAGAAAGAUAAAUAUAAUAAAUUGAAUUAUGGAAAGUAGGAUACAUUGAUGGAUAAAUUUAGGGAUAGAUUUAAAUAGGAUCCAUCCAGGUAUACUCAAUGGGUCUUAGAUAUAGUUGAAUUAAGGUUUAAGGUUUAAUGUAGUACGAUUAUUUAUUUUAUUUUAUUUUCACAUAUAAGAUAUAGUCCAAGAUCUAUCCGUAUUUAGGUAGAUCAAAUUAGAGCGAAAUUCCUCGACACUUAAUUGGUGCCCCGCAUGAAUGGUGAAACGAUAUACCAACUGUCUCCUAAAUGGACUGCGUGAAAUUAUACUUCCAGUGCAGAUACUGGUAACUCUCAAUAAGACGAGAAGACCCUUUAAAGCUUCACUACUAGGAAUCGUAAGUUACGAUUCUGAGGUAGUUUGUCUGGGGUGGAAGCCUACUAAAUAGUAACGUAGGCCUACAAAGGUAUGGGAUCUUUAAGAUCCUCACUCGCAAUGGAUUAAACAUACUUGACUGGUAGGUAUACAGACCUACCAGGGAUCAUGAAUUAACUUUAUGGUCGGUCAUAGUGAUCCGGAUGAUUCAAUCAUCCGCUCAAGGAAUCAAAGCUACUUAAGGGAUAACAGGCUGGUCGUGGGUUGGAGUCCAUAUCUUACCCGCGCUUCGGCACCUCGAUGUCGGCUCUUCUCUUCCUGGUGUUGUAAGUGAUACCAAGGGUGUGGCUGUUCUCCACAUAAAGAGGAACGUGAGCUGGGUUCAAAUAGGACCCUAUAGAUCGUAAGGUCUAUGAAAAUAAUAGCAGUAUUUAAUAAUACUGAAGCCAAGUAAUUAAAUGUACUUGGGAUCCAACGUACUUUACAAAAGUAUCAUUGGUGAUAACAAAACUGCAUACCGUGGUGACACAGGUAGGAUUCUAUCUGUUGAGAGAUAAGUAGAAUAAAGAUACUCGCCCCUAGUACGAGAGGACUGGGUUGAGAGAACCAAUGGUGUAAUCCAUUAGAUGUAGUGAUAUUAACUCAUUGAGUGGACUAUUAGCUACGUUCUUUAAAGAUAACUCCUGAAGCCAUCUUAAGGAAGAAACAUCAUCUGAUAUUAUGAUCUACUCAUUUAUGAUACUGGGAUAACCCCAGUUCUUUAGUUUUUAACUUAUUAUCCUUUCAUUGGGUCAUUUACCCAAUUUCAUUUUUCGCUAUCUCCCUUUC
RNAcentral lists this ribosomal RNA (4178 nucleotides) under Spizellomyces sp. 'palustris'. RNAcentral's name for it is "large subunit ribosomal RNA". The stretch from base 2373 to 4154 matches the Rfam family "Bacterial large subunit ribosomal RNA". The record is from RNAcentral. Lineage: Eukaryota; Fungi; Chytridiomycota; Chytridiomycetes; Spizellomycetales; Spizellomycetaceae.